GGCUCAGGAUGAACGCUAGCGGCAGGCUUAACACAUGCAAGUCGAGGGGUAUAGUUCUUCGGAACUAGAGACCGGCGCACGGGUGCGUAACGCGUAUGCAAUCUACCUUUUACAGAGGGAUAGCCCAGAGAAAUUUGGAUUAAUACCUCAUAGUAUGUGAGAAUCGCAUGGUUUUCACAUUAAAGUUCCAACGGUAAAAGAUGAGCAUGCGUCCCAUUAGCUAGAUGGUAAGGUAACGGCUUACCAUGGCGACGAUGGGUAGGGGUCCUGAGAGGGAGAUCCCCCACACUGGUACUGAGACACGGACCAGACUCCUACGGGAGGCAGCAGUGAGGAAUAUUGGACAAUGGGCGCAAGCCUGAUCCAGCCAUGCCGCGUGCAGGAAGAAGCAUCUAUGGUGUGUAAACUGCUUUUGUACGGGAAGAAACACUCCUUCGUGAAGGAGCUUGACGGUACCGUAAGAAUAAGGAUCGGCUAACUCCGUG
Molecule: ribosomal RNA, 485 nt
Filed under: uncultured bacterium
Lineage: Bacteria
Description: bacterial SSU rRNA
Rfam family: Bacterial small subunit ribosomal RNA
Source: RNAcentral